UCUGAUGAUCUACAGUGAUGACCUAGGGGU
RNAcentral lists this non-coding RNA (30 nucleotides) under Callithrix jacchus (white-tufted-ear marmoset). Lineage: Eukaryota; Metazoa; Chordata; Mammalia; Primates; Cebidae. The record is from RNAcentral. RNAcentral also lists the same sequence under 1 other name.